AGCCACCAAUCCUAUUUGUCUAUUCUUCUUCUUUUACCCACAAUCCAUGUCGAGGCCGACCAUUGCCAAAAUCAACAGGAACAAAAUAUGAUGUUAUAGGAAAUCUGUAUAGACGGGCUGGCUACCUGUGCCAACGGCCGGAUACAACUAGCCAUCAUAAGAACCGUAUUUGAAUCAAUUUGGUCUAGGAUAUUUUUCGAGUGCGUCUCUAUUAACAGUAGGGUCAGCAUCUUGCGAAAAAAGGAUGUACUAUGGAUUUUGACGUGGAAAAUUUCAAAAUUUUCCUUCCAGCAGUAUUCAGUUUACAUCUUGAAAAUAGUUGUACAGGAGGUCUUUAGUAAAUGAAAAGGUAAAGUUCCUAUUAAUAUAACAGUAACUUUAAUUUCAUCAGCUCUUGAGUAGAAGGUCAUUAUUUUUCUUCUUAUUAAGGUGAUUUCAUGGCCUACUUACAAAAUUUACCCAAUAUUGCCAAUUCCAAGUUCUAUCUUUACUUUGCUUGAGGUUGCAUCAUGUUCUUGGCAAGGAAAGAACCGAUAUUAUUGGGAUUUAAUUUGCUUUAAUUAGAAGUUGAGAUUUUAUCCUGACUCCUAAUCGUUGCUCUUCAACAAGAACACAUGAAUGCCUUCCUGUUCCUCCUUUCACUUUUUUUUUUUUUUUUUUUUUUUGUGUGUGUUUGAAUUGAAUUGAUAUAUUUAAAUCUUCUAUUUAGGAUUUAUAUUUACAUGUACGUUGCAUCUCGCUAAUUUCCUCCUUUCCUCGGUUGUUUGUUUAUUCGAAACAAAUUCCCCUCUCCAGGUUUUUUGGGGCUUAUUAUUAUGUUUUUGUAUAAAGCUUAAUUUAUCGUGUAUUGAUAUUCUUGCUCUUAAUACUAUUGACAUCUUUAUGUGAUGCCGGAGUCUAUGCAGGGAUGAGAAUGAACUAUGAUCAUGGAGUUUAAUUACUUCCCCUCUUAAUAUUACAAUAGCAAUACGGCUGAAGGUAGAGUAAUUUGGGCUAAAAUGAUGUAUAGAUAAUGAUCCCCACAAAGUCAUAAUUGAAAUUGAUUCUCCACGAUGGCAUUUGAGGGAGAUUAUUAGUAGAUUCAAGACCUAUUGAUAUGACUAACUGUACAAUACAAUGUUGUUAUAGAGAAGCAAAUCAGUAGUUGACGCUUUUGCCCAGUAGAGUAUUGAUAACUCGAGUCUUAUUCUCCAUUCCAACGAUAAUCUGCCUCAAAGGGCUAGGAGCUUAUAUAGACUUGAUUUAUUUUAGAUGACCUUUUUCCAACAUAUGCACAAGACUUACAGUUUUUUGUGAGCUUUCUCCUUCUGUGUAAUCUUUCUCUGUUGUAAGUGGCAGGCAUAAUCUUUGUAUUUUCGCCAACUUUAGGUAGGCUUAAUCUUUA
Long non-coding RNA from Lycium barbarum (goji berry), 1384 nucleotides. RefSeq lists it as uncharacterized. The record is from RefSeq and is a predicted model, not a curated record. The transcript has 3 exons. Lineage: Eukaryota; Viridiplantae; Streptophyta; Magnoliopsida; Solanales; Solanaceae.